AUGAGAAAAUAAUCAUGUCAUCUGCAUACGCCAAAUGAUUGAUCUUUGGACUCCACUUUGGCAUCCCAAAUCCACAAAAGUACAGAUGCUUGGUUAUGAACUGUUGGACUGUUUGUUGCUGCAUUAGCUGCCACCAUUGCCAAUUGAUUAACAGGUGGACGAAUGGGAAUUGGCUCAACUUCCUGUUGCUCCUGCAUUGCAGCAUUUAAAGUGCAAGGUUUCAG
Nicotiana tabacum (common tobacco) is the source of this 224-nucleotide non-coding RNA. NCBI's taxonomy places the organism in Eukaryota, Viridiplantae, Streptophyta, Magnoliopsida, Solanales, Solanaceae. The record is from RefSeq and is a predicted model, not a curated record.